UACGUAGGGGGCAAGCGUUGUCCGGAUUCAUUGGGCGUAAAGAGCUCGUAGGCGGCUCAGUUAGUCGGGUGUGAAACCCCCGGGCUCAACCCGGGGACGCCACCCGAUACUGCUGUGGCUAGAGUCCGGUAGGGGAGCGUGGAAUUCCUGGUGUAGCGGUGAAAUGCGCAGAUAUCAGGAGGAACACCAGCGGCGAAGGCGGCGCUCUGGGCCGGAACUGACGCUGAGGAGCGAAAGCGUGGGGAGCGAACAGG
Molecule: ribosomal RNA, 254 nt
Filed under: uncultured bacterium
Lineage: Bacteria
Description: partial 16S ribosomal RNA
Rfam family: Bacterial small subunit ribosomal RNA
Source: RNAcentral